UAACACGUGGGGAACCUGCCCCAUAGUCUGGGAUACCACUUGGAAACAGGUGCUAAUACCGGAUAAGAAAGCGGAUCGCAUGAUCAGCUUUUAAAAGGCGGCGUAAGCUGUCGCUAUGGGAUGGCCCCGCGGUGCAUUAGCUAGUUGGUAAGGUAAAGGAUUACCAAGGCGAUGAUGCAUAGCCGAGUUGAGAGACUGAUCGGCCACAUUGGGACUGAGACACGGCCCAAACUCCUACGGGAGGCAGCAGUU
RNAcentral lists this ribosomal RNA (252 nucleotides) under uncultured Lactobacillus sp. Its description in RNAcentral is "partial 16S ribosomal RNA". It matches the Rfam family "Bacterial small subunit ribosomal RNA", at positions 111 to 355 of the family's 1533-position model. Lineage: Bacteria; Bacillati; Bacillota; Bacilli; Lactobacillales; Lactobacillaceae. The record is from RNAcentral.